UACGUAGGUGGCAAGCGUUGUCCGGAUUUACUGGGCGUAAAGAGCGCGCAGGCGGUCGUUCAAGUCGCGUGUGAAAGCCCCCGGCUCAACUGGGGAGGGUCACGCGAUACUGAUCGACUCGAAGGCAGGAGAGGGUAGUGGAAUUCCCGGUGUAGUGGUGAAAUGCGUAGAUAUUCGGAAGAACACCAGUGGCGAAGGCGACUUACUGGACACAUAUUGACGCUGAGGUGCGAAAGCGUGGGGAGCAAACAGG
This 253-nucleotide ribosomal RNA is filed under the name uncultured bacterium. Its description in RNAcentral is "partial 16S ribosomal RNA". It matches the Rfam family "Bacterial small subunit ribosomal RNA", at positions 524 to 776 of the family's 1533-position model. The record is from RNAcentral. RNAcentral also lists the same sequence under 1 other name.